Molecule: ribosomal RNA, 494 nt
Filed under: uncultured bacterium
Lineage: Bacteria
Description: partial 16S ribosomal RNA
Rfam family: Bacterial small subunit ribosomal RNA
Source: RNAcentral
GACGAACGCUGGCGGCGUGCUUAACACAUGCAAGUCGAACGGAAAGGCCUGCUUUCCCUUGUGGAUUGCGGGUACUCGAGUGGCGAACGGGUGAGUAACACGUGAGUGAUCUGCCCCCAACUUGGGUAUAAGCCUGGGAAACUGGGUCUAAUUCCCGAUAGGACUGCAGGGUGGUGCCUGUGGUGGAAAACGAUUUUCUAGUGGUUGGGGAUGAGCUCGCGGCCUAUCAGCUUGUUGGUGGGGUAAUGGCCUACCAAGGCGGCGACGGGUAGCCGGCCUGAGAGGGUGGACGGCCACAUUGAGACUGAGAUACGGCCCAGACUCCUACGGGAGGCAGCAGUGGGGAAUAUUGCACAAUGGGCGGAAGCCUGAUGCAGCGACGCCGCGUGGGGGAUGACGGCCUUCGGGUUGUAAACUCCUUUCGACCGCGAGGAAGCCACCUGGUUGGAAGGGUGGUGACGGUAGUGGUAGAAGAAGCACCGGCUAACUACGUG